GCAUUUCACGUCAGGCAUGUUAGCUGUUACGUUCUUAUGAACCUUCGUUUUGAACGAUGAAGUGAAUGAGCGCGAGACAGCGCAACGGGGUUCCGCGUAAGUAAUAAUCAGAACGUCCCCGCACAGAAGAGACAAUCGAUAGAAGAAUUGUGUCGUCUCUUCAUCCCUGUCUCGGGUUAACCUCCUUGGUCCCCGCACAGGCAAGCCAUCCAAGUCACCAGUUCACCCCGACUGCAUUCCAAGAGGAGAUGCACACACGCCAGCCUCGAAGGCGGCGGCAGAUCGCAUCAUGCGGACGGCUGUCAGAAUAUGCAAGUCGCUCAAUGAGGAGCAUGCCCCUGUCAGUAGUGCUACUGUCUCCAGCACAGGACCUUCAAUGAGACUACCUGACCCAACAAUAGAUUCAGCAGAACCGGAUAUCAUGACUACUGUGACGCAAAGUACUUGUACAGAUGCAGAUGCUGCUGCCAUUCUUCUUUCGCUCUCUGAGGAAUGUACUGGUUCACCCAAAGGGGACCUGUAACGGCAAGGAUCAUCAUCUGUUCCUGAACAUGAUAAUGCAGUAACAGGUGCAGGUCUGCACCGGGAAGACGGAGAGAGAACUGAGCACGACAUUGUUGUGAAUCUCCUCAAAGAAAACACGUUGUUGAAGAAGCGUGUAGCAGAACUGGAGCAGGAAAAUAAAGACCUCAGUUACCGGCAACUCCAUGUGGACACACUUGACGAUCGCAGCUUCGAGUACUACACUGGGCUUGAAGACAGAACACAGUUUGAGAACUCAUUUAAUCAUUUAAAGCCUCAUGCCCGUAACAUUGUGAUUGGUCUUCUGCACGGAAAGGUUUCGAUGAUGAGCGAGCGAGGCCUAAGAAAACAGAGCUGCAUGAGGAACUUUUCAUUGUGCUCGUGCGGCUGAGGCUGGGCAUGCCCAAUCGAGAAAUGUAAUGAAACUUUUGACUGUCGGAGGGACGUCUGAGUGAAAUGUUUACCACGUGGAUAAUUCUGCUGGAUCGGGCACUAAGGGCAGCAACAAUAAUCCCAUCGAGACGUGAGGUUCAACAACACCUGCCUGCUUCGUUUAAGGGCUUUGAAGACACCCGUUUUGUAAUAGACUGCACUGAGGUACGCAUCCAGAGGCCAUCCAGACUCAAUGCGCAACGCUUGACAUUUUCGUCUUACAAGCACUACAAUACCUUCAAAGUGCUUGUCGCUGCCACACCAGAUGGCUACCUCUGUUUUGUGUCAGACUUGUGGGGUGGGCAAGCA
RNA transcript from Ornithodoros turicata, 1263 nucleotides. RefSeq lists it as uncharacterized. Lineage: Eukaryota; Metazoa; Arthropoda; Arachnida; Ixodida; Argasidae. The transcript has 3 exons. The record is from RefSeq and is a predicted model, not a curated record.